UACGUAGGAGACGAGCGUUGUCCGGAAUUACUGGGCGUAAAGCGCGUGUAGGCGGAUGAGCAAGUCUGCUGUGAAAGCUCCUGGCUUAACCGGGAGUGGUCGGUGGAAACUGCUCGUCUGGAGGACGGUAGAGGUAGGUAGAAUUCCCGGUGUAGUGGUGAAAUGCGUAGAGAUCGGGAGGAAUACCUGUGGCGAAGGCGGCUUACUGGGCCGGACCUGACGCUGAGACGCGAAGGCGUGGGGAGCGAACGGG
RNAcentral lists this ribosomal RNA (253 nucleotides) under uncultured bacterium. Its description in RNAcentral is "partial 16S ribosomal RNA". It matches the Rfam family "Bacterial small subunit ribosomal RNA", at positions 524 to 776 of the family's 1533-position model. The record is from RNAcentral.